Molecule: long non-coding RNA, 7156 nt
Organism: Dermochelys coriacea (leatherback sea turtle)
Lineage: Eukaryota; Metazoa; Chordata; Testudines; Dermochelyidae
Exons: 2
Source: RefSeq, a predicted model, not a curated record
ACAUAACACUGCGGUGUCCACAAUUUGUAUGACUUCUCAGGAAUUAAAACGCCACCCAUCGAGUCCAGGCCUCUUGCCGUGGGCUGUACUGCUGCCUAUGGCAUUUUGCCCAGUGUUCCAGCCAUUCCCCUGGGACAUCUCUUCCCAGUGUAACAAGUCAGAUCAGUCCAAUUUUUCUUGUGCCAUUUCCCUUCCAUCCCACAUAUCUCUACCCCCUCGGUUUCAUCCCGUAACAUUUUUCCAUCCCCCAAGAGCAACUUGAUCAUUACAGCCUGAGUCACUUUCCCUUAAGAUCAGGUACCAACAAACAGGUAAGAAGGAAUGAGGGCAAAAGCUCUGGGAGAGAGCGCAGGGGGUGCAUCUCUCCUGAGCUGGCCUGCCCUGGUCUGCCUGCAGAAACCACUGCCUCUCUCUCUGCAGACAGCAGAGUCCUUAUGGGGCAGUGCCUGGGGGCGGUGCGGGGGGGAACUCUCCAAAAGGCCUAACAGUUGCACAGAUGAAUACAUCACGGGCUACAUCUCACACAGAUAAGCCUGAAUCGGCCCGAAGAGCCAAAGAAAAAAACAAAAAUGGCUGGGGCAUUAAAGAAGAAAUUAGGUGCCCAACUCCUACUAAAAGCCAAUGGGAUUUGGGUACCUAACUCCCGGGGGUGUCUGUGAAAACCAGAGGCAGAUGUUUGCAGGGAUCUCCAGAAACACAGUAGGUGGAGCCUCACGAAUCACAGGGACUGCCUCAUUCUCUUUCCCAGUGCGAUAGGGUUUCAAGGGUUUCUCCUCCCCAGCCCCGUGCCCGCCCCAACCUCUCCUCCCCCUUUAAUAUCAUUCACUUCACAUCCAGCGCUCCUUUGCCAGCGAGCAGUCCUGGGCAGCUCCCUACAGCUGAGGCGCGAGAAAGGAGAGUGGAAAAGCAGCAAAGUGGGGUUAGGCUCCUCGCUCGCAUCCCACACAGGCAGCUGGGAAAUAUCUUGAGAUUUUUUUUUUUACUGCUGCUAGCGCUGGCAUCUCACCCCUUCACCUGUCCCUCCUCCUCUCACCCCUGGCCCCCCUGCAAAGAGGCAGAUGGGAGCUUUAAUGAGCAGUGUGGGGUACUGUGAUUCUGGAGGUAUUUAACUCCGCCGGCGUGCUACAAACCACAGGUAUCUGACCCUUUCCCGAGCCCCGGAAGGUUGAUUGAUGUCCUGAUUCACAGGCCGCCUUCAUGGCGGAUCGGGCCAGCAGAAUUUGGGCCACAGCCUCAGAUGUGGCCAACGCCGCCCCACCCCACCCGGCUCUCCCUUCCUCCCCUCCCCCCUUCCCCGCUUUGAGAGGAUCUGUUCCAAAAAAUCUGGGCUGAGCCCAGCAUGGGGAGGAGAGCGCUGGGCUCUGCUUGCCGAGCUGCAGCUGCAACAAGGCCACCACUGUGCGGAUGGCACAUUAAACCCUCCGUGUGCUUCGGACAGCCGGGAGAUGACGUCUUCCCAGCGCGGCCAGUCAGUCCCGUCAUUCGCGCUGCUCCAGUGAGGGGACUCGGGGUAAAACUGAGGCUGGGAGAUGCCGGACAGCCGGAUAGGCUAAGGGCCGGCAGAGCUCAGAGCCAGAUGGGCAGGGGAAGGUAUAUCGGAGAAGGAUUGAACCGGGCCAAGCCCGGGGAAAGGACGCAGCACACCUGUCCUGUGCAUCAGACAGGGCUUGGAGUGUGGGCUAGCGGCCGAGGAGCCAGGAGUCGUCAGUUUCGGUCUGGGCUCCGCCACAGAUUUGCGGAUGAACCAUGUGCAAGUCUCUGCACCUCUGUCUGUAAAAUGGGGGGGAUGGGAAGUUGAAAUAAAGAUGGAGUAUGGGGGGCACAACUUCCCCUUUCUAUUAAAGGCAGCAGCUCCUUCUUGUCUCCCCGGUGUGACUGAGCAGCUCCCCCUCCUGGGUGAGCAAUGCUGCCCCAUAACUCCCCCUCCUCAGCUGGGUCAAUAAUUCCCCCCUCCUCUUUCAGUCUAUUGGGAAUAACACCAUUCCCUGUCCCAAAACUUCUCCUCUCUCAGUGCAGACCCGUUUCAGAAUCAAGUACUGAGCACACACUGGGAAUGAAAACGACACUGACCCGAGGUCCUGCACCAGUAGCCCUAGUAGCCGAUGGCAGUGAGAGAUCGAAAACCUGGUAUCUUAUGGAGUGUCUUUGCUAGCAUGCUCCUUACACCCUGGAAAGUCAAGGAAGUCACCUUUCCUGUGGUUUCUGCAUUUGUUUUUUAGUCCUGGUGAUUUAGAAAAAGGAUGGGACCUUAAAGUCACACCAUGCCAAUUGCUACCUUGCUUUGCUUUGCCUCUCUCCUUUAAAGUCAGACACAACUAUAGUGGCUGAGAACCACUGGAAACCGAUACAGUUGCUCAGAGGUGUCAAACUAGUCCCCAUCCAUGGGCUAGAUCUGUCCCAUCUGACGUGUCCCACAUGACAUGCACAGAUUGUGCAGAAUCUCAACUUUUGUUUAGAAGACACAGUAUGAUUCUCGCUUGCAUGGUGUUGGGACUUCUCUCAAGACCUUAACCUCUCUGCUCCCAAGAACUCAGCCCAACUCUGGAUUCCUCACUCAAGUUUCUUUACCAGCAUGCACUAAGACUACACAGAGCUGAUCAGACUCACAUCCAGGGGGUGAGUCCGGGGUGUACCACAAAUCCAAUCUGAAGUCCUUUAGAUACUAGUUUACCCCUGCACAGAUGCAUGUGUCUUCCAGUCCGUGUUACAUCAUGCACUUUCUGAUUGGUCAGCUUAUUUUCAGGACCAAUCCCUGUACCUAUCAUGCUUUGUUCCCAUGCCACACAUAUAUAGCAUAUUUCAAUUUUGUUAAUUUCAUUUGUUAAUAUUUGAAUAUGUUAAUUUUCUCCCUGUAUUUUGUUAGUUUCCUCCCUGUCUCCUUCCACACAUUCUUAGCCACUGCUGCUGCCAAUAUUAUUUCUUGCACCUGGUUUUACACCACUUCUCUCUUUGGUUACUGGGUCCACUACCAAAAAGUUACAUUGACAACUUAUCUUUUCCCUGGUCCUGGAUUACUGGGGCUCAUUCAUACCAUACACAUGGCUAUGAAGGAAACCUUGCAAAAUGUGAACCAGAGUGCAGACUGUUGAAGCACAUUGUGCCUGAAUCUGCAGGCAGCCUGAGACAAUAGCUCGGAGAGGUGUGAAUUCCUUCACUCUGUCACUCUGUCAUCUCAAUGUAUUGUUAACUCUGAACUCUAACAAUGUCACUGAAGUGUUUCUGCUGACUCCUAGUUCAUUAUGGAUAGAAUGGGGAAGGUGGUGGAAGGGAAGCCCCAAGGGAGCUGGAAUUGGGAGCUGCUGCAGAGGAAUGAACAGAGGAGGCCUACAAAGACUGGGAAACAGAGGAAGAAGGAAGAGAAGCAAAGGGGGCAAACAGCCGUGAUCCUACAAGGGAGUGGAUUUUCUCAGUGCAGAAUGCUGAAUGGCACUGAACAAACACUAAAUAAUGAAGUCUGGGGAGUUCAAAAGCUCCUAAGGGUGUUAGGUGCCAUGAUGCCAUGGGAGAUGGUCACUUAAUCCGUUAGACCCUUUGGACAAUCCCACUGUGAUGUGGUGUCUGCCCCACACUUGCAGAAAAGGGGUUAAAAGCAGCCCUAGGGAGGCUGCACAGGAGACAGUCAAUCAGCGAAGGGCUGAGGGGAGCAACCAAUCAGGGCAAGGCAGGCCCACUGAAAAAGGGAGCUGCAGGGCAGAGGAGGGCAGUUCUCUGUUGGGAGCCCAGGAAGGAAGGAUGGACUGGAUCCCUGAAGGGCUGAGAGAACUGCAGCACUGUGGACAGUGCUGCCAACAGGGGCCAAGGGAGCAAGAGACAGCUCCUGGCUGGCUGUUGGGGGUUGCAGACUGAGGCCCUGACGUAAGGGCAAGGAGGGUGCUGGAGCCACAUGGGAAGUGGUUUGACCAUGCACUGCAGUCUGCCACUGAAGGGAGUGACCGGACAGCAGACUGCAGAUUCCCCUGGAAGGGCGGAGAACAGAGUGUGGCACAACUGGAGGGCAGUGUCAUGAAGAGGAUGCUGCAGUCCCGGGAGUGGGCAAGACACCACCAGCAGAGGGCACAGUGCUAAUUCUCUGGACAGCCAGCAGGAGGCGCUGCAGUGGUGAGUCGUGCCCCAUCACACCCGCCCUAAAGGUUCAAUAUAAAGGCCAUCGCCCACCCUUUGCAAACCUCCCCGCGAUGUCGGUGGAUUGAAGGGGAGUACCGAAUCCUAAAUGUAUGUUGCUGGCCAGGGGUGGGGAUUUAAACUGGAGUUCGUCCCUGUGCACAGAAUGAAUUCGUCACCGCUGCAGCAGGUGGAUGCUCUAAUGCAGGUGGCUGGUGAGAUACCACCUCCCAAUGCCGUGCAGGAAGUGACGUGUGCCGGCACACACGUGUGUGUGUGUAUGUGAAACAAAAUGUUUAAUCAGAAGGAUGUGACUUUAAGGUCCAAUAUCUCACCCAGUGUCAGGGCUGGAAGUACCAUGUGCCAGGCUCCUCUGGUUGCUUUGCCUCACAUCUGCAACACAAAGCAGCCAGGAGCCCAGUUUCGGUGGUAAUGUGUUAAGGGUUGCAUCGCUGGAGCUUGCCAGCAAAUCUGCCCUGUGACAGGAUCGAUACAUUUGUUUGAAGGAGGAGUGAGCGCGUCUACAUGUCAGCCCUGCACCAGGCAUAGCGAGGGAAAAGUCUGACCCUAUGUCUGUACAGACAGUUUCACUUCUGCCACAAAACCAUGCACAGUCUGGCUGCUUGUAGUUUGGCCUCUCUUCACUCAGCCAUGUCUUAGGCAACUAUCCAUAUGACGAAUGGAGUGACUAAGAAGGAGGGGCUCACCUGGGGUGAGAUUAUCCCGUGUGUUCUUGCACAGGCCAUGGACCAGGACCCCACUGUGCUAGGCACUGUAUAAACACAGACCAAAAAGGCAGACCCAGCCCCAAAGAGUUGGCAAUCUAAGUGUAAGGCAUGCAAAGUCCUAUUGGACUUGGUGGGCCUAUUCGUGCAGAAAGGCACCACUGAGCAUGAGGGGAUCACAAUCUGGCCUUCUGUCGUUAAACGCCGUGACACAGAGAGGAUCCAGUUGGCUGUGAAGUGAUCUCCCAAGGAAAAUGCUGGCCUGUCCCUUGUGACUAUUAGCCCUAGGUCGGCCAGGCCGCUUGGGAGCAUGUGGCAGUGGAGUGAGAUGUGUCGGCCAGGAGAUGGACUGGAGGAUUUGAAGGGUCUCCCCCAUGCUCUGUCCUAUUCAAUCCAGUUGUAACAUGACCACGGUAAUGCUGCCCUGGCCCUGGAGAAGAAGCAGAAGUGAUUCAACGUCCUGCAGGGCCCUUGCUUGCAGGUCCUGUCUGACGCAGAAUAGGCGGUAGCACCCCUGUUGUGGCGCAUUCUCAUUCUGCAUGCACCCACCCUGCAGUGCCCCCCGUAGCUACAGCAGUUCAGAAGAACAACAGGCAGAAGGGCAGUUCUACUGGGGACGCUGGGCCUAAAGAACUCGUGCAGUCCAGUUACCCACUACUGUGCACGAUGGAUGUGCAAAUCUCCUGAGUCACAUUCUCUAACCCCAGGGCCAGUGUUGCACUGGGAGAACAGGGCCCUAGAAUACGUGGGGCUAGGAAUGAGAGGGAUGGGGGUAGUGAGGGAAGGGGCCAGCCCAACAAAGCCACAAGUAGGCUAGGUAGCACCUUAGCAAGGAGAGCCAGCCACACCCAGACGAGCUGACAUGGUUAGGCUGUCCUGACACAAGUCUAUUUAUGUCACAUGGCUAGCUGGAAGCCAAAUGUUUGUUUGUUCCUUCGUUUGGCCGGAGAUCUGCUUAUUUGACAGUUCUUAGGACCCUUAUCUUCCUUACCCUGGAGACAUGCUGACUCAGUUCCACCAGCCAAGCCAGAGAAUUUGCCUGCAUUGACCCCUAUGUGGAACCCUGCUGUUUAUGCAGACCUGUUAAUAAAUAGGCUGAUCGGGGGCUAGAUCCUCAGCUGUUGUAAACUGAUGGGGCUCCAUCAGCUUCAUUUACACCAGCUGAGGAGCUGGGCCCAAAGCCUGAUUCAUGCCAACCAUGGGGUAAAUCAGGAGCAACCCCUGCGAAGUCCAUGGGCCCAAUUGUUUAUGGUUUUCACAGAUGCUUGUGCAAAAUGGGUGUGAAAUGCUAUCCGUUGAGAAUGGCAGCAUGUUACACACGCUCUGCAGAGGGGACACAAGAUGCAAGGCCUUGUGGCGAGUCAGAGUGUAAAAUCGCCAGGGGAAAAUCGGUGUAGGCAAGCUGAGAAUCAGGCCGUACAUUUCAGACCCUGGUGCCGUGUUCAGUGAUCACCCAGUGCUUAAGGUGCGGCAAGAGGUCUGGUUUAUCCUGUGUCCAGUUCCAGCUGGCCAUGCAUAACGAUGGCAAGAGCUUCACUGCUCUCUGCAUCUCUUAGGGUAAGUUGCCGUCCAUACAGGGCUGCCCGACUUCUAAGCCGGGCUUGGAGACGGGCGUAAUUAAGAGCUGACUUGAAUCUGCAACUAAGCCCCCACCUUUUCUGAAGUCUGAAACCUUCUUUAUGUCUGCUGGCCCUGUUCUCACCAUCAGAUCUCCAUCUAGAUCAGAAGGAGGCGUGGCCAAAAUGCCACAAAGAAGCAGCUUUCACCUGACUGCAUGCAAGAAGUGUGAAUUUCAUAAGCAGGGCAGCCCAAAGAAAAGCCAGCCAGCCAACCCCAAGAAAGUUAACCCAAGCGCAGCAGAGUGAAGUUCAGAUAAGCAUCUCAGUGUUUAGGAUGUUUAUCUGAACUGGAUCUCCAACUCUUCCUACAGUCAUCAUCCCUCAGUGCAAGGCAGACCCAGGAGCUCAGGAACAAAUCUGCAAAAUGGAGCAAUGCUGAUUUACUCUCGCUGGGGAUCUGGCCUCACUGACAGCUGGGGAUCUGGCCCAGGGACCUUUGUGGCUUCUAUCAUGAGGUUAUGGCAAGUCAUGGAGAGAGAAUAUGAUCUCGGGGAAUGAAAAAAACCGAACACACAAUUAUGGUGUGUGGCAAAAGGCAGAUGAAGAAAUAGUCAUGACUGGAAAUGAAGCGACAAUGAAGCGGAUGCCCUGCCAUGGAACCCUACAGUGAGAUGCUUCUAGCUUAGUUGAGCAAUGCUAAAGCGUGACUCAGGGUAGUAGGAAUACACAAGUAGUGCGGGGUCUAAUCCUGAAAUCUUUAUCCAGCUGAGU